This 253-nucleotide ribosomal RNA is filed under the name uncultured bacterium. Its description in RNAcentral is "partial 16S ribosomal RNA". It matches the Rfam family "Bacterial small subunit ribosomal RNA", at positions 524 to 776 of the family's 1533-position model. The record is from RNAcentral.
UACGUAGGAGGCUAGCGUUGUCCGGAUUUAUUGGGCGUAAAGAGCGUGUAGGCGGCCAGGUAGGUCUGCUGUGAAAACUCGAGGCUCAACCUCGAGACGUCGGCGGAAACCAUCUGGCUAGAGUCCGGAAGAGGAGAGUGGAAUUCCUGGUGUAGCGGUGAAAUGCGCAGAUAUCAGGAAGAACACCCGUGGCGAAGGCGGCUCUCUGGGACGGUACUGACGCUGAGACGCGAAAGCGUGGGUAGCAAACAGG